AAACAUGGCUCCUUGUAUAAGUUAAAUAGGGAGUCGGACCUGCCCGGUGAAUAUAUUUUUAACGGCCGCGGUACUUUGACCGUGCAAAGGUAGCAUAAUCAUUUGCCUUAUAAUUGAAGGCUAGUAUGAAUGGUUUGACAAGAAUGUAGCUGUCUCUUUGUGAUUAUAUAGAAUUUUACUUUCAGGUGAAGAGGCCUGAAUUAAAUUAAAAGACAAGAAGACCCUAUCGAGCUUUAAAGAAAUUAAUGGGUUUAUGAUUAAUAAAACUAAAAAAUUGACCAUUAAAAAUUUUGGUUGGGGCGACUGAGGAACAGAAAAAGCUUCCUUUAUAAUUUUAUAAAUUAAUAAAUAUUGAUCCAAAACAUUUUGAUUAAAAGAAUUAGUUACCGUAGGGAUAACAGCAUUAUCUUUUUUAAGAGCUCUUAUCGAAAAAAAGGUUUGUGACCUCGAUGUUGGACCAGAAUAUCCUGAAGAUGCAGUAGUCUUUAAGGGUUGGUCUGUUCGACCAUUAAAAUUCUACGUGA
This 524-nucleotide ribosomal RNA is filed under the name Bullia natalensis. Its description in RNAcentral is "partial 16S ribosomal RNA". It matches the Rfam family "Bacterial large subunit ribosomal RNA", at positions 1811 to 2603 of the family's 2925-position model. The record is from RNAcentral. Lineage: Eukaryota; Metazoa; Mollusca; Gastropoda; Neogastropoda; Nassariidae.